UGAGGAAUAUUGGUCAAUGGACGAGAGUCUGAACCAGCCAAGUCGCGUGAAGGAAGACGGUUCUAUGAAUUGUAAACUUCUUUUGUGCAGGAAUAAAGUGGGUUACGUGUAACCUUUUGUAUGUACUGUACGAAUAAGGAUCGGCUAACUCCGUGCCAGCAGCCGCGGUAAUACGGAGGAUCCGAGCGUUAUCCGGAUUUAUUGGGUUUAAAGGGUGCGUAGGUGGAUUGAUAAGUCAGCGGUGAAAGUUUGCAGCUUAACUGUAAAAUUGCCGUUGAAACUGUCGGUCUUGAGUGCAAAUGAGGUAGGCGGAAUGUGUUGUGUAGCGGUGAAAUGCUUAGAUAUAACACAGAACUCCGAUUGCGAAGGCAGCUUACUGGGAUGCAACUGACACUGAUGCACGAAAGCGUUGGUAUCAAACA
RNAcentral lists this ribosomal RNA (422 nucleotides) under uncultured prokaryote. RNAcentral describes it as "bacterial SSU rRNA". It matches the Rfam family "Bacterial small subunit ribosomal RNA", at positions 355 to 774 of the family's 1533-position model. The record is from RNAcentral.